Molecule: long non-coding RNA, 1446 nt
Organism: Ochlerotatus camptorhynchus
Lineage: Eukaryota; Metazoa; Arthropoda; Insecta; Diptera; Culicidae
Exons: 3
Source: RefSeq, a predicted model, not a curated record
UGUUGCUUAUAAAUAAGCAUUAAUCUAUUUCUCUAAAGUAUAGAUUACUUCCAAUGAUGACGCAAAAAUAUCAACUUAAACUAGUGCUUGUCAAACAAAUUGUACAGUCACCUGCCUUCACCUUCACUGCGUCGUUGAUGACUGAUUUUUUGGAAAAUAAAUUAAAAAAAUUCUAAUAGCAGAGCACACAUCCGGUAACGUAGUCCACACAUUAUAUCCCCUUUGUUGUUAUGGUUGAAAGCCACUCUUUGUGUUCAUGGACGAUUGCACCGAUGAAUUUUAGUUCAUGCUCUAAAUUUAUCAGGUACACCUUAACUCAAUUCAGACAAAAAAUCUCUAAAAUGAGAACUUUUAAAGAAAGACCAGUAAAGAACUUAUCAACACAUUGUAGUUUCAUUUUUAUACCUGUAAUCUUGACUUUUUAACCUAGGGGAUGAGUACUUAAGGGGGUUAUAUUUUGAUAAGUUCUUUGGUGGGAAUGACUGAUGAAGACUGCACAUUGUAGUCGAUAUACGUAUCUGUCAUGGAUACCAAAAUUAAUUAAGUGGAAUUAAAUGGAAGAUAACCUUUUUUUGCUGUUUUAUUUAUUACAGUAGUUUGAUCUAUUGUGGUAUACCCCGUGUGCUUAGUGUAGUGCAUGUCGUGUUAAUAUAUCUCUAUUGAGAAAUGGUUUUGAUACAGAUGUCAUUCUUGCCACACUCCAAAGGCGCGUCCCUUUGUCAGUCGUAAUCGGAUUCCUUAACAACAAAGUUAAGGAAUGACACCGAUAUUGACCAUGUAUCAGACCCUAGAAAACAACGAAUAAAAGAUUAGGAAUCACAUAGAUGAAGACUAACUAACUCAUUUUUCCUUAUUUCAAGAUCAUCCUCGGCGUUAAAAGUAACAAGGACUAAGAUGUGUUUCUUUUGAUUACUGAAAAGUCCUGUUCUCCUAGUUUGAAGUAGUCAGAACUAGGGUUCGAUGGUAGAUCUUACACCGUAACGCGCACCACGAAAAGGUGAUCUACCCGCGUUGCGUGGGAUCCUUAUGUUUACAUUUACGGAAUGCUGUCGGAAUUCAAGCACAAAAUCCAUUUGGCAUAAGGGUCAUUUGACUUUUAUGACUAUUAUUAGUUAUUUAGAAUAACGCAUCGCAUUAUAUUGUUGGAAAUUACAUUCACUGAAAAAAUAACAAGUUCUAGUUAAUCAUGCAUAAGAGAUACAGAUUUGAAUUGCUGACAAAAGUUGUAGUUAAUCAUGAAACCUACAAAACCUUCAUGGAUAAUUUUACCGAAAUAUGUUGAUGAAAAAAGUUAGCGGCAAAUGAAUGUAAAUGAAUGCACGAAAUGAAGGUAAAUGAUUUCCUAUGCCUGCUUACGGUACACAAUAUUUUGUUGUACCUAUCGUAAUCGAAUUCUGUUAUUAAGCAUUUUAAGUCCAAUAUAUUGAAUAUUAAUUCAAGUCCGGA